UGAACGCUGGCGGCGUGCCUCAUACAUGCAAGUCGAGCGAACAGACGAGGAGCUUGCUCCUCUGACGUUAGCGGCGGACGGGUGAGUAACACGUGGAUAACCUACCUAUAAGACUGGGAUAACUUCGGGAAACCGGAGCUAAUACCGGAUAAUAUAUUGAACCGCAUGGUUCAAUAGUGAAAGACGGUUUUGCUGUCACUUAUAGAUGGAUCCGCGCCGCAUUAGCUAGUUGGUAAGGUAACGGCUUACCAAGGCAACGAUGCGUAGCCGACCUGAGAGGGUGAUCGGCCACACUGGAACUGAGACACGGUCCAGACUCCUACGGGAGGCAGCAGUAGGGAAUCUUCCGCAAUGGGCGAAAGCCUGACGGAGCAACGCCGCGUGAGUGAUGAAGGUCUUCGGAUCGUAAAACUCUGUUAUUAGGGAAGAACAAAUGUGUAAGUAACUAGGCACGUCUUGACGGUACCUAAUCAGAAAGCCACGGCUAACUACG
Molecule: ribosomal RNA, 493 nt
Filed under: uncultured bacterium
Lineage: Bacteria
Description: partial 16S ribosomal RNA
Rfam family: Bacterial small subunit ribosomal RNA
Source: RNAcentral